CCUACGGGGGGCAGCAGUGGAGAAUCUUGCACAAUGGGCGCAAGCCUGAUGCAGCCACGCCGCGUGAGGGAAGAAGGCUUUCGAGUUGUAAACCUCUUUCAGCAGGGAAGAAGCGAGAGUGACGGUACCUGCAGAAGAAGCCCCGGCUAACUACGUGCCAGCAGCCGCGGUAAUACGUAGGGGGCGAGCGUUAUCCGGAUUCAUUGGGCGUAAAGCGCGCGUAGGCGGUCCGGUAAGUCGGAUGUGAAAUCCCAGGGCUCAACCCUGGAACUGCACCCGAUACUGCCGGACUUGAGGUAGGUAGAGGAAGGUGGAAUUUCCGGUGUAGCGGUGGAAUGCGCAGAUAUCGGAAGGAACACCGAUGGCGAAGGCAGCCUUCUGGGCCUGACCUGACGCUGAGGCGCGAAAGCAUGGGUAGCGAACAGGAUUAGAUACCCCUG
This 440-nucleotide ribosomal RNA is filed under the name uncultured Egicoccus sp. RNAcentral describes it as "bacterial SSU rRNA". It matches the Rfam family "Bacterial small subunit ribosomal RNA", at positions 338 to 789 of the family's 1533-position model. Lineage: Bacteria; Bacillati; Actinomycetota; Nitriliruptoria; Egicoccales; Egicoccaceae. The record is from RNAcentral.